RNAcentral lists this transfer RNA (85 nucleotides) under Pseudomonadales bacterium. RNAcentral's name for it is "tRNA-Pro". Lineage: Bacteria; Pseudomonadati; Pseudomonadota; Gammaproteobacteria; Pseudomonadales. The record is from RNAcentral.
CUGGACGGCUUCAGACGCCUCUGGACGUCAAAAAAAUUGACUGGGGGUCAAGUGGUCGGAGGUUCAAAUCCUCUCGUCCCGACCA